Molecule: ribosomal RNA, 253 nt
Filed under: uncultured bacterium
Lineage: Bacteria
Description: partial 16S ribosomal RNA
Rfam family: Bacterial small subunit ribosomal RNA
Source: RNAcentral
UACGAAGGGAGCUAGCGUUGUUCGGAAUUACUGGGCGUAAAGGGCGCGUAGGCGGUUUUAUAAGUUUGGUGUGAAAGCCCUGGGCUUAACCUAGGAAUAGCAUUGGAUACUGUAAGACUUGAGACCGAGAGAGGGAAAUGGAAUUGCGAGUGUAGAGGUGAAAUUCGUAGAUAUUCGCAAGAACACCAGUGGCGAAGGCGAUCUCCUGGCUCGGUACUGACGCUAAGGCGCGAAAGCGUGGGGAGCAAACAGG